CGCGAGUCCUCCACGUCGCGCUUCUCGGCGUCUCUUAAGAACCCUAGAAGCCUCUCUGCCUGGAAGCACGUACAGAUUAAUCAGGACGAUAAUGACGAUGAUGAAAUGGACGACGAUGAUGGUGGUUCUGCUCGGAAUGUGAGAUUGUAUCUGUGUGGGUUUUUGUUCUUCGUUUUACUGUUCACCAUUUUCUGCUUGAUUUUGUGGGGCGCUAGCAAGGCCUACAAGCCUAAAAUCUUCGUUAAGAACAUGGUUUUCGAGAACUUUAAUGUCCAAGCCGGAAGUGAUCAGACAGGAGUGCCAACAGACAUGCUGUCGUUGAAUUCUACGGUCAAGAUUCACUACAGAAAUCCCUCCGCAUUCUUCGCCGUCCACGUAACCUCUACCCCUCUUGAGCUUCACUAUUACCAGCUGAAGAUGGCCUCUGGACAGAUGAAGAGGUUUACUCAAUCGAGGAAGAGCCAAAGGACAGUGAUAACAGUGUUG
This 486-nucleotide unclassified non-coding RNA is filed under the name Hevea brasiliensis (rubber tree). Lineage: Eukaryota; Viridiplantae; Streptophyta; Magnoliopsida; Malpighiales; Euphorbiaceae. The record is from RNAcentral.